CUCGGCGGAUGCCCUGGAGGCUGCCCCCAGCCCAGCACAGCUCCCUUUCCCCCCCCAGGGCUGCAGAGGGCCCCCUGUGGAUGCUGCUUCCAGCCCCACUUCUUCCACCUCCACUGGACCCUCAGCAACCAGCCUCCGCCGGCCACCCCCACGCUCAUCCACGGCGCCGCUGCUCCCCCGGGCCCUGCCCUCUGGGGCCUCAGGGGCUCUGAGACCCUCCCGGCCUGGGCAGCCCCCGCCAGCCUCCAGGGACAACCCACACAGCCCCCGCUGACACAGCGCCCAGCCUACGGCCACCAGGGCAGAGCGCUGGACGCAGCCCCCCCGCUCCUGAUGACCUCCGUCCCCGGCCUCCAGCACCUCCAGGGACCCUCCGCAUGGGCCAACAGCUCCAGCACGGCCACCCCCACCGAGACACCCCCGAGCAGCAACAUCCCCACAUCUCCUGAUGGCUCCUCAGACACCAGCACCACCUGGGACAGCCAAGCCCCCGAGGACCUCACAGAGGCUCAGCAGGUGCCUCUGCAAGAAGAGAUGAGGCUCUUUGACAGCUGCGGGGAGGUGGCAGGGGUCUCCCAGGCCAGUCCUGGCACCAGCCCCAGGCCUGGGGACCCUGGGGACACUGGGGCACCCGUCCCCCGCUGCAAUUUCCACUCCCUCAUUCCGCCCAAACAUCUAUGGAGAAUGAGGCAUGGCCUGGAGGAGGUGAGGGAGGCCGUGCGCUCCCUGGACAAACUCCUCCAGGAGAUGAAGUCCCAGGAGCUCUGGGGGGAUGUGGAGAGAGCGUCAUCCCCAGUGUCCCAGGAGCCCUGGGGUGACUUGGGGACAGAGACGUCCCUGGAGGGCCAGGAGUCGGGGGCAGAUGUGGGUACGGGAAGGUCAUCAGAGUCCCAGGAGACCUGGGAGGAUGUGGGGCCAGAGACGUCUUCUGAGUCCCAAGGGGCCUGGGGAGAUGCGGGGACAAUGAAGUCAUCUGAGUCCCAGGAGUCCUGGGGGGGUGUGGAGCGAGAGUCAUCACCAGCGUCCCAGGAGCUGUGGGGGGAUUUCGGGACUGAGACGUCACCUGAGUCCCGGGGGGCCUGGUGGGAUGUGGGGACUGACUCGUCAUCCGAGUCCCGGGGGGUCUGGAGGGAGUUGGGGACUGAGGCUCCUGAAGAGACCCAGCAGCCCUGGGGGGACCCUGGGAGGGAGCCAUCACCAAAGUCCCCAGAGCCCUGGGGGGACUUUGGGACUGAGACACCACCAGAGUCCCAGGG
This 1256-nucleotide long non-coding RNA is filed under the name Calidris pugnax (ruff). Its description in RNAcentral is "lncRNA (ENSCPUG00000017484.1)". The record is from RNAcentral. Lineage: Eukaryota; Metazoa; Chordata; Aves; Charadriiformes; Scolopacidae.